RNAcentral lists this ribosomal RNA (735 nucleotides) under Nocardia sp. R07-43. Its description in RNAcentral is "bacterial SSU rRNA". It matches the Rfam family "Bacterial small subunit ribosomal RNA", at positions 170 to 917 of the family's 1533-position model. Lineage: Bacteria; Bacillati; Actinomycetota; Actinomycetes; Mycobacteriales; Nocardiaceae. The record is from RNAcentral.
CGGAUAUGACCUUCGGCUUCCUGGUCGAUGGUGGAAAGAUUUAUCGGUGCAAGAUGAGCCCGCGGCCUAUCAGCUUGUUGGUGGGGUAAUGGCCUACCAAGGCGACGACGGGUAGCCGGCCUGAGAGGGCGACCGGCCACACUGGGACUGAGACACGGCCCAGACUCCUACGGGAGGCAGCAGUGGGGAAUAUUGCACAAUGGGCGGAAGCCUGAUGCAGCGACGCCGCGUGAGGGAUGACGGCCUUCGGGUUGUAAACCUCUUUCGACUCCGACGAAGCGAGAGUGACGGUAGGAGUAUAAGAAGCACCGGCCAACUACGUGCCAGCAGCCGCGGUAAUACGUAGGGUGCGAGCGUUGUCCGGAAUUACUGGGCGUAAAGAGCUUGUAGGCGGCUUGUCGCGUCGAUCGUGAAAACUCGGGGCUCAACCCCGAGCUUGCGGUCGAUACGGGCAGGCUUGAGUACUUCAGGGGAGACUGGAAUUCCUGGUGUAGCGGUGAAAUGCGCAGAUAUCAGGAGGAACACCGGUGGCGAAGGCGGGUCUCUGGGAAGUAACUGACGCUGAGAAGCGAAAGCGUGGGUAGCGAACAGGAUUAGAUACCCUGGUAGUCCACGCCGUAAACGGUGGGUACUAGGUGUGGGUUUCCUUCCACGGGAUCCGUGCCGUAGCUAACGCAUUAAGUACCCCGCCUGGGGAGUACGGCCGCAAGGCUAAAACUCAAAGGAAUUGACGGG